UAGAUCUAUGUAUCUCUCUCUAUAUAGACAGAUAUAUAGAUCUAUGUAUCUCUCUCUAUAUAGACAGAUAUAUAGAUCUAUGUAUCUCUCUCUAUAUAGACAGAUAUAUAGAUCUAUGUAUCUCUCUAUAUAGACAGAGAUUAUAGAUCUAUGUAUCUCUGUCUAUAUAGACAGAGAUUAUAGAUCUAUGUAUCUCUCUCUAUAUAGACAGAGAUUAUAGAUCUAUGUAUCUCUCUCUAUAUAGACAGAGAUUAUAGAUCUAUGUAUCUCUAGAUAUAUAGAUAUAUGAGUAUCAGAACCCUUUAAAUCAAAGUAUAGCAGGGAGAGGAAAACACAUUUAAGGAGUAUUCAAAACUACUUUGAUGUGUUACUCAAAUACUAAAGGGUCAGUUCACCAAUAUUGAACACUACGUUUCCCACAAUGCAACGGCGUCUUUCAGCGAGCGCUCUGACUGCCUCACGUCUUCCAAAUUGCUCUCCAACACUUUGUGAGAGUUUUGUUAUCUGGAGGUUUCAUCCGGUCACUUUUCUUUCACAGAAUAGCAGGACGCGCUAACUAGCGACUAGCUGGCUGGUUAGCUGGCGGCUAGCAGGCUGGUUAGCGAGCUUGCUAAUCACCAGGGAUGAUAAAACCGCCAUAAAAGCUUUUAGUGUCGUAGCCUCAAUAAUCAAUCAAGCCUGGAAAUAACGACAUCAUUCGGUAAUAAAUAAAUAUCCUCCAAAGCAAAAUGACCAUUUGAAACAAAGUAAAUAUGAUAAACCUUGAUUUAUUAUUGUAAAUGUUUUCCUUCUGUUAAACCUACUUUAGAUUUAUCAUUUAAAAUGUUCCCUGUGUUUUGGUGACCUGUCCCUUUUAAUCCCAACAGUCAGGAUAUUGAUCAUCGCUGAUGGUGACAUGCUGAUAGGAUAUUGAUCACUGAUUGUGACAUGCUGAUAGGAUAUUGAUCACUGAUGGUGACAUGCUGAUAGGAUAUUGAUUAUCGCUGAUGGUGACAUGCUGAUAGGAUAUUGAUUAUCGCUGAUGGUGACAUGCUGAUAGGAUAUUGAUUAUCGCUGAUGGUGACAUGCUGAUAGGAUAUUGAUUAUCACUCCUUGAUGACAUGUUGAUAGACUGCCGACAAUCAGAUAACAUUGAUAAACAUCUCUCUCCUCUUCCUGUAAACCAGUUGUAAACAAACUGCUUCCUGCCGGCGGCGUCAGAACGUCCGUCAACAUAAAGGGAACUUUUAGCGCUCUGAGAUGGUCUUUGUUUUAUAUGAAAUGAAUAUAUAUAUAUGAGGAAUGUAAAAGGAUUUGUGUUUUUCUGUGAAACUGGGGAAUAGCUUUUCUUCUUCUUCUCUGCUCCCGCGUUGCUGCUGCGCCAGCUCUCUGUUUUUGUACCAGAGCCAGGUGGACUUUCUAUUAAAAACAAUAAAAAGGACGAUCAG
Gasterosteus aculeatus aculeatus (three-spined stickleback) is the source of this 1427-nucleotide long non-coding RNA. NCBI's taxonomy places the organism in Eukaryota, Metazoa, Chordata, Actinopteri, Perciformes, Gasterosteidae. The record is from Ensembl.